UAAGCUGAACCAAUUGAGAUGUUGGCAUAAACAAGAUUAACUUUUCCCUUGCAAAUCGAUGUGACUGGUCUGCUGCUGCAGGCUUCAUCUAAAACUUUGCUUCGUCUUAAACUAGUUAUGCAUUUGUAAACUGCUACUGAUUUCUUUGGGGCAUUGUCCCCAUAAACUAUUUGUAAAGUAUCAAUGAUUUCACCAUUCUUCCACAUCACAACUUUCACCAUCAAUUUGAUGUUUGUCCUUGCUACAAUUUUAGCAGAAUUGAUUUUGCCUUGAUAGGGACUCUUUGCAAACUGAUGUCCUAUCCUUCUUAGUGCCUCAAACUAGAUCCUGUUCAGACAUGUUAUAACAAGUUAGUAUGAGUUUAUUUUGGUGCAAGAAAAUUUAUGUUCUCACAAAACUAUAUUUUUUUCAAUAAUGAAAAACAAAUCUCUCCUUAAUUUGAGAAGCAUCUGGUUUUCCUGAACUUAUUUUUUCUUAAUUCAAGUUGAACUAAAGUAUCAGUUACACUUAAGUCUAAUAGAAUGGAAUUAAAAGUCACAAUGUAGAAACAAUGUAGGGUUUGGGACAAUGCCUUGUCCCAAUUAGGGAACCCGCAAAGAUUUUGACAAAAUGAAGAAUAAAUGCUUACUGGACAUUUCAAGCUCUAACUAGCAUGUUUAAAACAGAUUUCAUCAUCUUUACCAACCAGUGGCUUUUCUUGACUUGCCAAAUCAGUGAAUGGUACUGCUCGUUCCCUCUUUCUUAAAUCUUGAGUAUGUUUCAUUUUCUUUCUUCUUCACCUCUAUAAUCAGAGAUCAAAUGCUGUCAAGUUUUCCUCCCCCCACCAAAACAAUUCCUUGCUCACCUAUUCCUUUCUCUCUCCAGUUCCUACUCUAGUUUCAUCUCAUGCUGAUACCACUUCAACAGUAUCUUGUCUCCCUACUUCCAAUUCCUGUGUCAUUUCUUCAGUUACAAUGGGCAUUGUUUCUAAAUAAUUUUCCAACACUGUAUUUUGUUUAUGACAUGCCUUUCUGUGCCUAUUCAAAAACUCUCAGCAAAAGUAACUAAAAUUAAAAGGGAAAUCUGUAUGGAAAAAUAUGUGCAGCAAGUUACCACUAUAAUAAACUCAAUCAAUUAAGAAAAAAAAAAAAAAAA
This 1134-nucleotide long non-coding RNA is filed under the name Homo sapiens (human). RNAcentral describes it as "long independently transcribed non-coding RNA 216 (LINC00216)". The record is from RNAcentral. Lineage: Eukaryota; Metazoa; Chordata; Mammalia; Primates; Hominidae.